This 664-nucleotide ribosomal RNA is filed under the name Triticum aestivum (bread wheat). RNAcentral describes it as "partial small subunit ribosomal RNA". The record is from RNAcentral. Lineage: Eukaryota; Viridiplantae; Streptophyta; Magnoliopsida; Poales; Poaceae.
CUAUUCUUCCGGGGGCUGGGACAUCUGUUUGGGAUCGGGAGUGAAUAGGAGAGUGAGCAGGGGAGGGAGAGCCAAAGCGAGCGAGGGCUCGACAGCAACUGCGCGGUAGCGGCAGGAGCGCUGGUGACCGGAGGGGCCGCUAGUCCUCCAACAGGUCCUCGAGACGGCAGUAGCUGAGGAAGAAGAUGGAGGUAACUUAUUCGAUCCUCCGUGGCAUGCGAGCCCUAGCUCGGUCAAAAAGGCGGUGCCGGCGCCGUAGAGCGGCAGUUAGAGGUGGUGGCCGCGUAGGGCCGGAGCCGCUCGUGCAGGUACCGGAGGAGCCCUGGGGCUCUGGCGACGACUACGGGGACACUGGCUGAUGCAGUGGUUGCCUAGAAGAAGGAAAUGUCGUCUCGAAGGUCUACCACCUCGGGUCCUAGGUCUGCGGUGGAAGUUGCUACUGACGAUGAUGUGACUCCCACGGAUGAUGAUGCACCUCUGGCGGUUACUGAUCCUCAUCAAUCCUCCGAGGGUCCAUCCUCCGGAACGGAAAAGCUAGCUACUACGAAAACACGAUCGGAAGAAUUCCGUUUGAACAGAUUGAGUACAGACAUGAGUCUAUAAAAACGAAGGUGACUGAGAACACAAAAGCUCGAAUUCAUAAGCUCGGGAGCUCCGGCGACCG